Molecule: ribosomal RNA, 1247 nt
Filed under: metagenome
Description: bacterial LSU rRNA
Rfam family: Bacterial large subunit ribosomal RNA
Source: RNAcentral
UGAAUACGAGAUGCUACGGCGUCGAAGCAGUGUAUGUCAGACUUCCAAGAAAAGCUCGCAAUGUCAUAAAUAAAGAAUGCCUGUACCAUAACCGACACAGGUGGGUAGGUAGAGUAUACUAAGGGGCGCGAGAUAACUCUCUCUAAGGAACUCGGCAAAAUAACUCCGUAACUUCGGGAGAAGGAGUGCCUUCUAUUAGAAGGUUGCAAUAACAAGAUCCAAGCAACUGUUUAUCAAAAACACAGGUCUCCGCUAAGUCGUAAGACGAUGUAUGGGGGCUGACGCCUGCCCAGUGCCAGAAGGUUAAAGAAGUUGGUUAGCUUUGGCGAAGCUGAUGACUGAAGCCCUGGUGAACGGCGGCCGUAACGAUAACGGUCCUAAGGUAGCGAAAUUCCUUGUCGGGUAAGUUCCGACCCGCACGAAAGGCGUAAUGAUUUGGAUACUGUCUCGGAGAGGGACUCGGUGAAAUAGACUUGUCUGUGAAGAUGCGGACUACCUGCACCAGGACAGAAAGACCCUAUGAAGCUUUACUGUAACUUGAAAUUGAAAUUGGACUUUAUUUGCGCAGCAUAGGUGGAAGGCGUUGAGAUUACUCUUGCGGGAGUACUGGAGCCAUCAGUGAGAUACCACUCCUAUAAUGUUAGAUUUCUAACUUUGGAUCAUGAUCUGGUCAAAGAACAGUUUCAGGCGGGCAGUUUGACUGGGGCGGUCGCCUCCCAAAUGGUAACGGAGGCGUACAAAGGUUUCCUCUGAACGGGUAGAAAUCGUAUCUAGAGUGUAAAGGCAUAAGGAAGCUUGACUGUGAGACCUACAAGUCGAGCAGGGACGAAAGUCGGUCUUAGUGAUCUGACGGUGCUGAGUGGAAAGGCCGUCACUCAACGGAUAAAAGUUACUCUAGGAUAACAGGCUGAUCUCCCCCAAGAGUUCACAUCGACGGGGAGGUUUGGCACCUCGAUGUCGGCUCAUCGCAUCCUGGGGCGGUAGUACGUCCCAAGGGUUGGGCUGUUCGCCCAUGAAAGCGGUACGCGAGCUGGGUUCAGAACGUCGUGAGACAGUUCGGUCCAUAUCCGGUGUAGGCGUUAGAAUAUUGAGAGGAGCCUUCUUUAGUACGAGAGGACCGAGAAGGACAUACCUCUGGUGUACCAGUUAUCGUGCCAACGGUAAACGCUGGGUAGCUAUGUAUGGAGAGGAUAACCGCUGAAAGCAUCUAAGUGGGAAGCCCACCUCAAGAUGAGUAUUCUCAUCAC